UUGAACGCUGGCGGCAUGCUUUACACAUGCAAGUCGAACGGCAGCACGGGGGCAACCCUGGUGGCGAGUGGCGAACGGGUGAGUAAUAUAUCGGAACAUGUCCGGAAGUGGGGGAUAACGUAUCGAAAGGUACGCUAAUACCGCAUACGCCCUGAGGGGGAAAGGAGGGGAUCGCAAGACCUUUCGCUUUCGGAGCGGCCGAUAUCAGAUUAGCUAGUUGGUGAGGUAAAGGCUCACCAAGGCGACGAUCUGUAGCUGGUCUGAGAGGACGACCAGCCACACUGGGACUGAGACACGGCCCAGACUCCUACGGGAGGCAGCAGUGGGGAAUUUUGGACAAUGGGGGCAACCCUGAUCCAGCCAUGCCGCGUGAGUGAAGAAGGCCUUCGGGUUGUAAAGCUCUUUCAGCAGGAAAGAAAUCGUG
Molecule: ribosomal RNA, 424 nt
Filed under: uncultured bacterium
Lineage: Bacteria
Description: bacterial SSU rRNA
Rfam family: Bacterial small subunit ribosomal RNA
Source: RNAcentral